This 2905-nucleotide ribosomal RNA is filed under the name Enterobacter asburiae. RNAcentral's name for it is "23S ribosomal RNA". It matches the Rfam family "Bacterial large subunit ribosomal RNA". The record is from RNAcentral. Lineage: Bacteria; Pseudomonadati; Pseudomonadota; Gammaproteobacteria; Enterobacterales; Enterobacteriaceae.
GGUUAAGCGACUAAGCGUACACGGUGGAUGCCCUGGCAGUCAGAGGCGAUGAAGGACGUGCUAAUCUGCGAAAAGCGCCGGCGAGGUGAUAUGAACCUUUGACCCGGCGAUGUCCGAAUGGGGAAACCCAGUGUGAUUCGUCACACUAUCGUUAACUGAAUACAUAGGUUAACGAGGCGAACCGGGGGAACUGAAACAUCUAAGUACCCCGAGGAAAAGAAAUCAACCGAGAUUCCCCCAGUAGCGGCGAGCGAACGGGGAGCAGCCCAGAGUCUGAAUCAGCUUGUGUGUUAGUGGAAGCGUCUGGAAAGUCGCACGGUACAGGGUGACAGUCCCGUACACGAAAGCACACAGGUUGUGAACUCGAAGAGUAGGGCGGGACACGUGGUAUCCUGUCUGAAUAUGGGGGGACCAUCCUCCAAGGCUAAAUACUCCUGACUGACCGAUAGUGAACCAGUACCGUGAGGGAAAGGCGAAAAGAACCCCGGCGAGGGGAGUGAAAAAGAACCUGAAACCGUGUACGUACAAGCAGUGGGAGCACCUUCGUGGUGUGACUGCGUACCUUUUGUAUAAUGGGUCAGCGACUUAUAUUCUGUAGCAAGGUUAACCGUAUAGGGGAGCCGAAGGGAAACCGAGUCUUAACUGGGCGUUAAGUUGCAGGGUAUAGACCCGAAACCCGGUGAUCUAGCCAUGGGCAGGUUGAAGGUUGGGUAACACUAACUGGAGGACCGAACCGACUAAUGUUGAAAAAUUAGCGGAUGACUUGUGGCUGGGGGUGAAAGGCCAAUCAAACCGGGAGAUAGCUGGUUCUCCCCGAAAGCUAUUUAGGUAGCGCCUCGUGAACUCAUCUUCGGGGGUAGAGCACUGUUUCGGCUAGGGGGCCAUCCCGGCUUACCAACCCGAUGCAAACUACGAAUACCGAAGAAUGUUAUCACGGGAGACACACGGCGGGUGCUAACGUCCGUCGUGAAGAGGGAAACAACCCAGACCGCCAGCUAAGGUCCCAAAGUCAUGGUUAAGUGGGAAACGAUGUGGGAAGGCACAGACAGCCAGGAUGUUGGCUUAGAAGCAGCCAUCAUUUAAAGAAAGCGUAAUAGCUCACUGGUCGAGUCGGCCUGCGCGGAAGAUGUAACGGGGCUAAACCAUGCACCGAAGCUGCGGCAGCGACGCUUAGGCGUUGUUGGGUAGGGGAGCGUUCUGUAAGCCGUUGAAGGUGUGCUGUGAGGCAUGCUGGAGGUAUCAGAAGUGCGAAUGCUGACAUAAGUAACGAUAAAGCGGGUGAAAAGCCCGCUCGCCGGAAGACCAAGGGUUCCUGUCCAACGUUAAUCGGGGCAGGGUGAGUCGACCCCUAAGGCGAGGCCGAAAGGCGUAGUCGAUGGGAAACAGGUUAAUAUUCCUGUACUUGGUGUUACUGCGAAGGGGGGACGGAGAAGGCUAUGUUAGCCGGGCGACGGUUGUCCCGGUUUAAGCAUGUAGGCGGAGGUUCCAGGUAAAUCCGGUACCUUUUAACGCUGAGGUGUGAUGACGAGGCACUACGGUGCUGAAGUAACAAAUGCCCUGCUUCCAGGAAAAGCCUCUAAGCAUCAGGUAACACGAAAUCGUACCCCAAACCGACACAGGUGGUCAGGUAGAGAAUACCAAGGCGCUUGAGAGAACUCGGGUGAAGGAACUAGGCAAAAUGGUGCCGUAACUUCGGGAGAAGGCACGCUGAUAUGUAGGUGAAGCCCCUGCGGGUGGAGCUGAAAUCAGUCGAAGAUACCAGCUGGCUGCAACUGUUUAUUAAAAACACAGCACUGUGCAAACACGAAAGUGGACGUAUACGGUGUGACGCCUGCCCGGUGCCGGAAGGUUAAUUGAUGGGGUUAGCGGCAACGCGAAGCUCUUGAUCGAAGCCCCGGUAAACGGCGGCCGUAACUAUAACGGUCCUAAGGUAGCGAAAUUCCUUGUCGGGUAAGUUCCGACCUGCACGAAUGGCGUAAUGAUGGCCAGGCUGUCUCCACCCGAGACUCAGUGAAAUUGAACUCGCUGUGAAGAUGCAGUGUACCCGCGGCAAGACGGAAAGACCCCGUGAACCUUUACUAUAGCUUGACACUGAACACUGGUCCUUGAUGUGUAGGAUAGGUGGGAGGCUUUGAAGCGUGGACGCCAGUCUGCGUGGAGCCAACCUUGAAAUACCACCCUUUAAUGGCUGGUGUUCUAACGUAGACCCGUAAUCCGGGUUGCGGACAGUGUCUGGUGGGUAGUUUGACUGGGGCGGUCUCCUCCCAAAGAGUAACGGAGGAGCACGAAGGUUAGCUAAUCCUGGUCGGACAUCAGGAGGUUAGUGCAAUGGCAUAAGCUAGCUUGACUGCGAGAGUGACGGCUCGAGCAGGUGCGAAAGCAGGUCAUAGUGAUCCGGUGGUUCUGAAUGGAAGGGCCAUCGCUCAACGGAUAAAAGGUACUCCGGGGAUAACAGGCUGAUACCGCCCAAGAGUUCAUAUCGACGGCGGUGUUUGGCACCUCGAUGUCGGCUCAUCACAUCCUGGGGCUGAAGUAGGUCCCAAGGGUAUGGCUGUUCGCCAUUUAAAGUGGUACGCGAGCUGGGUUUAGAACGUCGUGAGACAGUUCGGUCCCUAUCUGCCGUGGGCGCUGGAGAAUUGAGGGGGGCUGCUCCUAGUACGAGAGGACCGGAGUGGACGCAUCACUGGUGUUCGGGUUGUCAUGCCAAUGGCACUGCCCGGUAGCUAAAUGCGGAAAAGAUAAGUGCUGAAAGCAUCUAAGCACGAAACUUGCCCCGAGAUGAGUUCUCCCUGACCCUUUAAGGGUCCUGAAGGAACGUUGAAGACUACGACGUUGAUAGGUCGGGUGUGUAAGCGCAGCGAUGCGUUGAGCUAACCGAUACUAAUGAACCGUGAGGCUUAACCUU